GUGCUUGCUUUGGCAACACAUAUACUAAAAUUGAAACUAUACAGAGAAUAUUAGCACAGCCCCUGCACAAGGAUGACAUGCAAAUUCAUGAAGCAUUCCAUAUUUUU
Small nuclear RNA from Heterocephalus glaber (naked mole-rat), 107 nucleotides. Lineage: Eukaryota; Metazoa; Chordata; Mammalia; Rodentia; Bathyergidae. The record is from Ensembl.